CUGUUCAAAGAUGCUGCUUUUUGAGCUUCAGAAGACUGAAAAGAGAGGUUUGUGUCUGGUGCUAAACCAAACCCAUUUUGUUGUACAGUUUUACCAUCGUUCUGGCUCACGUCUGCAUAGCUUUUGCUAAUGCAGGGUUGCUGUCUUAACGUUUCUUCCUCUUUUGUUUGAUAGGCUGAAGAGCUUACUUUCUGGAAGUUCUCUGACACAGUGACUUCCCUUUGUUCCUCUGCAUGCAUGGUGCGUGCCUUCAUCUCCUCUUGCUCAGCUGUAAUCUGAUCCAUCCUCUGCCGUCUCCUGGCAAACAUGAGGGCCCCUUUACCUGUUGUCUCUGGAAGCGUCUGCAUCUCGUCUCCACUUUUCGUCUUCUUUUCAACCUCAAGUAGACCGCUGUCCCAAUCAAAUGUCACAAUCUUCUUGUCGUUGUCAAUGUCAGAGAAGAAAUCUUCAUCUAUUUCUGACUCACUUGUUGCAAGCAAACUCACUUCAAAAGUAUUUUCUUUGUCCCCCUCUUCAACUUCACCUUCUUCUCCUUCGUCUUCGUCACGUUCGAGCUCCCCAGUCCCGUAGCUGACUAAAGUAUACUUCCUCGCCCUUUGACGACGCUUCUUGAACAUUAACACCCCCUUGGAAUUGGGAUUGGGAGCUGCCGUCAGCAGCAAUGCAAUACUUUUACAUUUAGAUUUGGCUUCUUUGACCUGCUUCUCUGACAGGCUCUCACUUCGCCGGAGUCUUGCGUGCCUUGCCCUGUGCUUGAGAGGUCUGUGAUCCCUUUCUGAGUGCUGGUUGUCCUCUCCCUGCUCAGUGCCUUCUGAUGAGAUUGCAAAGGAGGGCAGAGAAGGAGGUGCUUCUGACUGCCCUCCUUCCACUUGAGAAUCAACACACCCCCUUUCAGCUAGAGACGUGGGUCCUUCUUUUUCCCUGUCUGAACAGGCUAGGAUCACCUCCACCCUGGGGAUGGAUGGAGCUGCACUUUGGAUCCUCUUGACCUCUUUGCUACUAGAAAACUGGACUACUUUGCUUGACCACUGGAUGUUGCCCUCUUUCACACUCAGGGGAAUUGCAAUUACAGGGCUGGUCCCGUCUUCUUGUACACUCGGUCCUCUUCCUGAAGGGGUGCAUUUUUCUGCCCC
This 1133-nucleotide long non-coding RNA is filed under the name Gallus gallus (chicken). Lineage: Eukaryota; Metazoa; Chordata; Aves; Galliformes; Phasianidae. The record is from RNAcentral.